UUUUUUAACUGUGCGUCAGAGAAAAAAAAACUGGAACCGAUUUGAGUACACGUAACCAUUAAGUACACCAUUCCAACUCUAUUGGUUCAUUCAAAUAAAUAUUGUACAAAAUGUAGUACAAUUUAGUAUACAUAAGUACAAAUUUCUCAAACUACCUACAUUCUUCAGUCCUAGAAUGGACUGAAUAGUCCUAGAAUGGACAAUAGGAUCAGCGCUGGCAGAGCAGAUUGACUGCUCCACAUUCUGCACGGAUAACGAGGAUGCCCCCACCCGAAUAAGAGGAAAGUGUCACAGUUCGCCAGACUUAACCAUAGUGUCACCCGGUCUGAUAAAUGACGUGACUUGGCAACCCGUCAUUUCUCUUGGCUCAGACCAUCUCCCGAUAAUCGUCUCCAUAAGCAGGUCGCCCGACUUCAUAACAUCUGAACGCCGCACGUUCCUUAACCAUGGGAAAGCUCACUGGCCAGAGUUCAGAGAAUUCACCAACCCCGCUUCAGAGAACUGCCCAACCCUUCUGAUGUUCGGGUAGCAGAAAGGAUUUUCCGAAACAUCAUUAAAGCUGCAGCCGCUCGCUAUAUACCUGAUGGUCGAAUACCCGAGAUAAGACCAAACUUCCCAGCAGAGGCAGCGGGAUUAGCAAACGAGCGUGAUGAUCUCCGUCGUACCAACCCUACUGAUCCUAGAAUCAGUGAUUUGACAGUGGAAGUCAACCGGUUGGUACAGGAGCAUAAGAGGAAAAAGUGGCUAGACCAUCUGAAGUGCUGCAACAUUGGAACCGAUAUAAGUAAGCUGUGGGUAACGGUUAAGUCGCUCUCGAACCCUCGAAAAAAGGAUGAUAGGAACUCAGUCACUUUAAACGACGUAACGGUGACUGAUCCGAAGAGGUGCGCGGAAUAUUUUAAUCGACAAUUUGUCGAGCACCCCGAGAGCGAUAGGGCGAAGCGAAGAGUAUUACGUCGUAUCAGAUCUCUUCCCGCCGAGGAGGAACCACCACAGUUUACGAUGGGUGAUGUUGCAAAUGUCAUCCGUAACGCUAAGUCAUCCAAAGCGUUGGGCCCAGACGGAAUCUCAAUGGUAAUGUUGAAGCAGCUGGAUACGCCGGGAGUCGAGUACUUAACUAAAGUUCUCCAUUUGUCGAUAGCCACCCACAUAGUGCCCGAAACCUGGAAAAUGGGCCGGGUGGUCCCUUUACUGAAGCCAGGCAAGGAUGCCAGUAAAGGCGAAUCGUACAGGCCGAUUUCGCUUUUGUCGCCAGUAGCAAACACUCUUGAGGCUUUACUCCUCCCCAGCAUUAGAGAAAGCUAUACAGUUGCCAACCACCAGCACGGAUUUCGUCCACAACACAGUACCACAACAGCAUUACACGCCAUUUCCACACAUAUUAGUUGAGGACUGAACCAGAACAGGCCGUGUGACAGAACAGUGUUGGUAGCCCUUGACCUAUCAAAGGCAUUUGAUACGGUCAAUCAUGCCACACUGUUCGAGGACGUGCAGAGAACUACCCUCCGGCCAAGUUUGAAACGUUGGAUAAUCAACUAUAUGUGUGGACGCCAGUCGUACGUGGAAUUCCGGAACAAGAAGUCCAAAGCCCGUAGAGUGAAACAGGGAGUUCCCCAAUGUGGGGUGAUAUCUCCGGAACUGUUUAACAUCUACCUUUCCGGAAUUCUUCGCCCUCCAGACGGCAUUGAGAUCGUAACGUAUGCGGAUGAUUGUACGAUCAUGGCGUCGGGUCCAGUUGUCGAUGACAUAUGCGAAAGGUUGAACCCCUAUCUCACAGAGCUUGCCGCAUACUUCCACGCGAGGAAUAUGAAAAUAUCCGCCACGAAAUCAACGGCCACACUCUUCACCACAUGGUCUGCGGAGAUGAGAACACAGCUGAAUGUUCAGGUCGAGGGGAAUCUAAUACCGACCACGAACUACCCCAAGAUUCUUGGGGUCACGUUCGACAGCAUGUUCAAGUCGUCCGCGCAAGCCACAGC
Musca domestica (house fly) is the source of this 1979-nucleotide long non-coding RNA. RefSeq lists it as uncharacterized. The transcript has 2 exons. Lineage: Eukaryota; Metazoa; Arthropoda; Insecta; Diptera; Muscidae. The record is from RefSeq and is a predicted model, not a curated record.